Molecule: long non-coding RNA, 3884 nt
Organism: Scophthalmus maximus (turbot)
Lineage: Eukaryota; Metazoa; Chordata; Actinopteri; Pleuronectiformes; Scophthalmidae
Exons: 3
Source: RefSeq, a predicted model, not a curated record
GGUGGGAUGCACCGUCUCCUGGGCUUUCAUCACGUUUCAUCAAGAGGGAGACAGUUGGGGCGGGGGGGGGGGAUCAGUGCUGGUCACCUUUUGGAGCAGCUGAAGUCAGAUCAGGGCUGUAGUUUGGAUCCCCCCCCAGUCAGCCACACUCCAGCCUUUAUUGUAAUAUGAUUGGCAUUUUUCCGGGCCUCUCACCUCUACGCCACCUCACAGCAAGAGGGUUAGAAGGUUCGAGGUCCCGGUUCAAACCAACCGGGGGCCUCUCUGUGUGGACUUUGCAUGCGUCUCCCCGUGCAUGCGUGGGUUCUCUCCGGGUUCUCCGGCUUCCUCCAUGACAUGCAGAAGGGGGCUGGGUCAAUUGGAGACUCUGAAUUGACCGUGGGUGUGAACGUGAGAGUGAAUGGUUGUUCCUGUCUGGCCACCUGUCCAGGGUGGACCCCGCCUCUCGCCCAAUGCACCCAAUGGAAAAUGCACGGAGGCCAUCUUUCUGGACAUUUUUCUCCAGAGUUCACUGUCUGAAAACAGCUCCAAGUUAGCCUAAGUCUUCCAAUUCGCGGACCGCCUCCUUCAGCCGACAGCGAAGGUCGAACUGAAACGGAAGAAAGACCAAUAGGCCACGACUAAUCCGCUUUUCUCACACUAUUUCUGUGAAAGGCCUAAUACGUGUUGUCACAUCUCAGACAUAGUUGUUUAUUCAUUUCAUUUUUUGUGUCUACAAAUGGGGGAUGUAGAUGGAAAGCUUCUUUCUAAAUCUGGCACAAAACAUCUCUUGGUUCGUCCUGUCUCACGGAGGAAUCUAUUGUGGGCUUCUUACACUGCCUUUAAUAAUCUAAUAUCUAAAUUAUGUUUCAAUUCCGUCCAUCCAUCUGAGCCUGGUUUGAUGUGGUCCUGGAAGACAUACAAGAGUGCUACUUGUGCUCCGAUCAGCGACAGGCUAUGCAGGACACGUGACUCCUUCCGUCGAGGGGUUUGUGUUUCACUGUAAACUCGUCCGUGUAGGUGCGCAGUUCACUCAGUUUUCCCAUAAAUUGCCUUGUUUAAAGUUUAACCAAGCGUCGCACACCGCCGGUUCCCAUCAUAAAUCUGGCAAGUCACGAGAUUGUUAUCCAACAGGGCAUGCACACUCAGGAUUGCUCUCCCGCUCUUUCCCUGUCUCGACACCUUAAAUUGUAGCACUCAGCGCAAUUCAUCAUCUGUAAAGAUGCGCGGGGCGGGGGACACAGCCAAUUAUCAACCUGGCUGUGUAAUACAUUUCACAUGGCUCUUAUGCAACAACCCUGGCAAGAGGUGAGACUCAGGUGCCGGGCCUUCCCUGCAACCGCAGAGUAUUUACUCGAGGGGAUCGAAGGGUCAGCGGUUCUGAUAUACAUGAACAGCAGCAACGGGCCCCCCCCAAAAAAAAAGUAUCAAAAAUCCACGUUGCUAACCACAGUAACAGACCGUGAGGGCAGACAAGGAGCAGCUGGCCGGGAGAUGCAGAGACAAUCUGGCAGGGAACAAAAGAGGCACCCGCGGGGCCGGCGUGGAACAGCAGGCCGGUGGGCGGAGAACAGGUGAGGCUGGUCAAGGGGCCGGGGAACACACGCGAGGACGGGAACUGCAAGUGGCACAAGAGUUCGGCACGGCGAAGUACGACGGGAAACAGAUACCGACAAGGGGGUGCAGGUGAGGAGCUACUGGAGACGGCACCUGUAAAUUGCUCAACAUUUGGAAUAUGAAAACACGCCGCACUAAUCCCCCUGUGAGCUCACCCAUGACCAGUUGAUUCACGACCUCUAAAGUGAGGAAAUAGCUGGACCCCGGGGCUGCGGAAGUGAUGUCUCAACAACAGUGGAGAUAACAAACAUUUCAACUGAAAUGCAAGAACCUCUGCUGAAACGCAGGUGGGGCUGGAGAUUGAGACGCAAAUCAAGUUAUCCAGUAUCAUCUUCUGGAUCACUGACUCAUCGCUAAAAGGCCAGCUUGAUGUGAGCACCGCAGCAUGAAUCUGCCGUGACACAACGCCAAUGUAUUGACCAGUGGUGGAUCCCCCAGGGGAGGACCCCCCCCCCCCCCCCGCGGUUCUUGUUGCCCACUCAGACAACUGAGUCGGACGACUACAAGACGUCCGACUCCUCUCCUUUCUCCAACACUUUCUUUGCAUUCCUGCAACCCGGUGGCAAAGCGAACUCCUGCGCGGGCUUCUGAAUUCCUAAAGGACCAAAAAGGGGGAACAAAGAGAGGGAGGACGACCGUUGCAAUCCAUUUAGAGGUCACCUGGGAAAACACGCGGGCCUGCGCGUAGACCUGACGGCAGCUCUGCGUUUGGCAGAGCGACACACUUCGCCCUGUUUGAGUGAUGUGGGCUAAGUGGCUCUCAUUGGGCUCAGGGCCAGGCCAUUCCAUUCCUUUGACUUGCUGAUACGCAGCGUUCCUCCCUCGUGCUUCGUGCCCUUUGAUCUUCCACUAAGAUCCCUAAUGAGCAAAUUUGUGGUCAGUUUGACCCGCUCUAAUUGGCCAUGAGAAGCUCGGGCGCGCUCUGUUCCGGUCGGCUCAAUCCUUUACAGUGGCUCCUUUCGCAAACAAGAGCGCGUCUUCACGCAGCCGCCGUGUGACACAAAAAUCCCAAUACAUGGCAGUAUUUUUGAAAAAAGAAAAUAGAUAGUUAAGAGCAAUACACUUUCAAAAAGUACUCGACGGUGGCCCGGAAGAGUCAAAAACCAACCUGAUGCAAAAAAGGCCGCAACACAAGUGCAAAAGAGAUGUCAAGAGAUGUUGAAAUUCAGUUGCCGCAUGUUCUGUAUUUCACAGCAUUCAUGGAACAGUUAUUGACAUAUUUCAUCGUGGACCAAAGGUUGAAUGACCCGUAGACCAGCAUUGCCAACCCCUUGAAUUGAGUUUCUAUAUCGUGGCACACACUGUGCCCUGCUUACUAUCACUAUCUCCAAAUACCCACAGCAAGAAAUGUGAGCCCGUGCCAGGAAACAAUCCCUCAAGAACGUGUCACUGUACAAACUCAAGUGUUUUCUUCUUUGUCUUUGUCAGCAGGAGCAGCCGCUGAUUUCGGAGUAGGUUAACCUUUCAAAAUGGUCCAAAAGUUUAAAUGAAUGAGCCAUGUGUCCGGGGGAAGAAAAGGAGUUUUGCUUUAAUCGCAAGUUCCCGUCGAUCGUCGUAGUCCCUUUGUCGCACAGGUUUAGAGAAAUGCAAGAGAGAAUGCAAGCGCCCUUGCGAUGUAGUGUAGGUUGCAUUACUGAGUAGUGAGGUAGAACAUGGGCCACAGUCGUCGUGAGCCACAGUGUGAAAUCUGACGAGCCGAGGAUUAGUGAAACCUUGCUCUAAAUUUUUUUAAAAAAGAAAAGGAAAACACAUUGAAUUUCCACCUUUCCUUUCUUUUUAUAUAUAUAUAUAUAUGGAAAAACCUAGAGUUGUGUCAAUGUACAGGAGCACAAGAAAGAGACAAGUCCACGUCACUAGGCCGUACUUCAGGCCUUCAUGGUUCAGCGAGCUGAGCAUGACUCCUCGGCUUGAAUUUCCCAAAUGUUGACACAGGCCUGCAUAAUGGACUGUAAUGUUCCCUCUGAAUGCUCUGGAGUGGGGCCUAACAAGUCUUAAAGCAGGUCAAAGGGAGGUAUGUUAGGUUAUAUUGUCUCUUUUGUUGUGCAGUGGAACCAAUAAAAGGUUAAACUUAAACCCAGCUCCUGAGGCCCCUGUCUUUCCCAAUGCUUUUAAUCAUUAUUGAACAAUGUGUAUACUUGAAAAAAACUGUUUAUAUGCCUUCUGCAGUUUGCACCGAGGUGCAGAACUCUGUACAUAACUGUUUACAUGCCUUCUCUAGUUUGCACCGAGGUGCAGAACUCUGUACACUGCCCAUUACUUACUGUGAAUUAAAAAAAUAUAUUUUUUAA